AGUACGGCGAGUGAGAGGGAAUAGCCCAGAUUGAAAGCUGGCGUCUUCGGCGUCCGAUUGUAAUCUCAAGAAGUGUUUUCCGCUUCGGACCCGCCUAAGUCCCCUGGGAAGGGGAAUCAUAGAGGGUGAUAAUCCCGUACAUGGGUUGGAGCGCCCGAGGCUUUGUGAUACGCUUUCUAAGAGUCGAGUUGUUUGGGAAUGCAGCUCAAAAUGGGUGGUAAAUGCCAUCUAAGGCUAAAUAUUGGGGAGAGACCGAUAGCGAACAAGUACAGAGAUGGAAUGAUGAAAAGAACUUUGAGAGAGAGUUAAACAGUACGUGAAAUUGCCAAAAGGGAAGGGUAGGAGGUCCUAGAUGCGGCCUGGGAUUCGGCCUUGCUUUUGCUUGGCGUUUUUCCCAUAUUGCACGCCAUCGUCUGUUUUGGGCACUGGAGAAGGGUAGGAGGAACGUCCCUCCCCUCGGGGGUGUGUUAUUCCUCCUACUGGAUACCCCGACCGAGACCGAGGACCGCAUAGGACUCUGGAGAACGGGCCUUCUCCACCUUUACUGUAACGGGGGACCAGCAUAAUGGCCCUCUACCACCCGUCUUG
This 588-nucleotide ribosomal RNA is filed under the name uncultured Pseudozyma. RNAcentral's name for it is "LSU rRNA". It matches the Rfam family "Eukaryotic large subunit ribosomal RNA", at positions 82 to 656 of the family's 3401-position model. The record is from RNAcentral. Lineage: Eukaryota; Fungi; Basidiomycota; Ustilaginomycetes; Ustilaginales; Ustilaginaceae.